GAGUAACACGUGGGCAACCUGCCUGUAAGACUGGGAUAACUUCGGGAAACCGGAGCUAAUACCGGAUAAUCCUUUUCCUCUCAUGAGGAAAAGCUGAAAGACGGUUUCGGCUGUCACUUACAGAUGGGCCCGCGGCGCAUUAGCUAGUUGGUGAGGUAACGGCUCACCAAGGCGACGAUGCGUAGCCGACCUGAGAGGGUGAUCGGCCACACUGGGACUGAGACACGGCCCAGACUCCUACGGGAGGCAGCAGUAGGGAAUCUUCCGCAAUGGACGAAAGUCUGACGGAGCAACGCCGCGUGAGCGAUGAAGGCCUUCGGGUCGUAAAGCUCUGUUGUCAGGGAAGAACAAGUAUCGGAGUAACUGCCGGUACCUUGACGGUACCUGACCAGAAAGCCACGGCUAACUACGUGCCAGCAGCCGCGGUAAUACGUAGGUGGCAAGCGUUGUCCGGAAUUAUUGGGCGUAAAGCGCGCGCAGGCGGUUCCUUAAGUCUGAUGUGAAAGCCCCCGGCUCAACCGGGGAGGGUCAUUGGAAACUGGGGAACUUGAGUGCAGAAGAGGAGAGCGGAAUUCCACGUGUAGCGGUGAAAUGCGUAGAGAUGUGGAGGAACACCAGUGGCGAAGGCGGCUCUCUGGUCUGUAACUGACGCUGAGGCGCGAAAGCGUGGGGAGCGAACAGGAUUAGAUACCCUGGUACGUCCACGCCGUAAACGAUGAGUGCUAAGUGUUAGAGGGUUUCCGCCCUUUAGUGCUGCAGCAAACGCAUUAAGCACUCCGCCUGGGGAGUACGGCCGCAAGGCUGAAACUCAAAGGAAUUGACGGGGGCCCGCACAAGCGGUGGAGCAUGUGGUUUAAUUCGAAGCAACGCGAAGAACCUUACCAGGUCUUGACAUCCUCUGACAACCCUAGAGAUAGGGCGUCCCCUUCGGGGGACAGAGUGACAGGUGGUGCAUGGUUGUCGUCAGCUCGUGUCGUGAGAUGUUGGGUUAAGUCCC
This 997-nucleotide ribosomal RNA is filed under the name Bacillus sp. SO9.8. RNAcentral describes it as "bacterial SSU rRNA". It matches the Rfam family "Bacterial small subunit ribosomal RNA", at positions 108 to 1088 of the family's 1533-position model. Lineage: Bacteria; Bacillati; Bacillota; Bacilli; Caryophanales; Bacillaceae. The record is from RNAcentral.